This 253-nucleotide ribosomal RNA is filed under the name uncultured bacterium. RNAcentral's name for it is "partial 16S ribosomal RNA". It matches the Rfam family "Bacterial small subunit ribosomal RNA", at positions 524 to 776 of the family's 1533-position model. The record is from RNAcentral.
UACGUAGGUGGCGAGCGUUGUCUGGAUUUACUGGGCGUAAAGAGCGCGCAGGCGGUCGUUCAAGUCGCGUGUGAAAGCCCCCGGCUCAACUGGGGAGGGUCACGCGAUACUGAUCGACUCGAAGGCAGGAGAGGGUAGUGGAAUUCCCGGUGUAGUGGUGAAAUGCGUAGAUAUCUGGAGGAACACCGGUGGCGAAGGCAGCAUCCUGGACCGACAUUGACGCUGAGGCGCGAAAGCCAGGGGAGCAAACGGG